UACGUAGGGGCUAGCGUUAUCCGGAUUUACUGGGCGUAAAGGGUGCGUAGGCGGUCUUUCAAGUCAGGAGUGAAAGGCUACGGCUCAACCGUAGUAAGCUCUUGAAACUGUAAGACUUGAGUGCAGGAGAGGAGAGUGGAAUUCCUAGUGUAGCGGUGAAAUGCGUAGAUAUUAGGAGGAACACCAGUUGCGAAGGCGGCUCUCAGGACUGUAACUGACGCUGAGGCACGAAAGCGUGGGGAGCAAACAGGAUUAGAUACCCUGGUAGU
This 269-nucleotide ribosomal RNA is filed under the name uncultured prokaryote. Its description in RNAcentral is "partial 16S ribosomal RNA". It matches the Rfam family "Bacterial small subunit ribosomal RNA", at positions 524 to 794 of the family's 1533-position model. The record is from RNAcentral.